CCUACGGGUGGCACCAGUGGGGAAUAUUGCACAAUGGGCGCAAGCCUGAUGCAGCCAUGCCGCGUGUAUGAAGAAGGCCUUAGGGUUGUAAAGUACUUUCAGUUGGGAGGAAGGCGUUGAUGCUAAUAUCAUCAGCGAUUGACGUUACUCGCAGAAGAAGCACCGGCUAACUCCGUGCCAGCAGCCGCGGUAAUACGGAGGGUGCAAGCGUUAAUCGGAAUUACUGGGCGUAAAGCGCACGCAGGCGGUCUGUCAAGUCGGAUGUGAAAUCCCCGGGCUCAACCUGGGAACUGCAUUUGAAACUGGCAGGCUUGAGUCUUGUAGAGGGGGGUAGAAUUCCAGGUGUAGCGGUGAGAUGCGUAGAGAUCUGGAGGAAUACCGGUGGCGAGGGCGGCCCCCUGGACAAAGACUGACGCUCAGGUGCGAAAGCGUGGGGAGCAAACAGGAUUAGAUACCCGUGUAGUC
This 465-nucleotide ribosomal RNA is filed under the name uncultured bacterium. RNAcentral describes it as "bacterial SSU rRNA". It matches the Rfam family "Bacterial small subunit ribosomal RNA", at positions 338 to 795 of the family's 1533-position model. The record is from RNAcentral.